This is a long non-coding RNA of Leopardus geoffroyi (Geoffroy's cat), 1226 nucleotides long. RefSeq lists it as uncharacterized. The transcript has 2 exons. The record is from RefSeq and is a predicted model, not a curated record. NCBI's taxonomy places the organism in Eukaryota, Metazoa, Chordata, Mammalia, Carnivora, Felidae.
UCCAUCCUAACAUUCUCCUUUCAUGUUUUUGAUAGAGGCAGUUCCCACAUCCCAGUUACCGUAUAUGACGGCAGUUUCCAGCUUUUAUCUCAGAAAGAUACCAACAAGAGAAAAGCAACAGAAAUGUGAUCCUUUCUAACAGCCCUGAAACUCUGAACAGAAAAAGAGUAACCAGAAAGAUUCUUAUACAUGAUUAUGUUUAUUUUCUUCUGUCCUAUAUACAGGAGAGUCAACUCAUAUAAUGAGCAGCUUUUAGAAGGAGUGAGGUGGAUUUGGAGGUGACACCAGUAUGUCAUAUACUAGCAUAUAAAGCAAGUUACAAGACAAUAUGUUUGGUGUGCUUUUUCAGGACAUUUCGCUUUAAAAUAUCAUUUCUUGGAGACACUGAUUCUGGGAAGAACAAAGCCUGACUGAGCAAAGAGUAUGGCUUUAACUCCUUCAGAAAACCUGUAUUAUUUCUUUCCUCCUAAUCCCAGGGAAUGUGUGGGAGGUGAAUACUUGCAAAUAUGCUGGAUAUGCUGGACACCCAUAAGUAAUUUGGCUUGCCUAUAUGGAAUUUUCAAAGUGAUUCGUACUUUUUUUUUUUUUUUUUUUUUGAUAGCUAUCUAUUGAGCUCAUGAUUGAUUUGCGCAUAGUUUAAGAUUCAGACAAGGACCUAUUUUCUUCUCUAAUGCUUCCAGAGUCUUAGAAAAACUAUACUAGAGCAGAUUUGGCAGAUUUUGUCCUCUUCUUUCAUCUGAUCUACAUGAAAAAUACAAGCAGCAGGAUUAAAAAGUUUUAGAUACCUAAGCCAACUUCUCUGCUCUCUGCUGGGCCUCCUGACACUUUGGAAAGGGAGGAUAAAUUUGAUAAAUGGUUUUCAAUACAUAUUUCCCUUCCUUUCUUUCUCUCCAGAGCUGUCAACCAAGGAGCCUCAAGUUAUUUGGACCACCUUCAAAGGGCUGUGUAUUGAAAAUGGCUUCCUAGUUUCUGUAGUCAAUUAUUCUAACAUCAAGAAAUCUCUCUCUAAAGAGAGUAAUGAAGACAAGCACAGGCUGUGAAAAGUGUUCUGGACCUUACCAUGCAUACAGUCAGUGCUUCAAAAGGCCUUUGUGGGGGGAAAUGAAGGUUUAUUCAUAGUGUUCAACUGUGUUGUAGCAGGGGGAGAAUGAUAUUUUUCACUUCCAGUAAAAACUGCUUUGUAUAUAUAAAAAUACAGACUGAUUUUCUGUAUGUUAGUCAAGUCA